Molecule: non-coding RNA, 907 nt
Organism: Odocoileus virginianus texanus
Lineage: Eukaryota; Metazoa; Chordata; Mammalia; Artiodactyla; Cervidae
Source: RefSeq, a predicted model, not a curated record
UAAUUAGGGCCCAAUGGGGAAGCGGCGAGACAGGAGGACCCGCCCUCGGAGCUCUGGAGACCUCCUUCCCAGACCCCCCCGGCGCCCGGGCCACCUGUUGCGGCCAACUUGGAAUGCUGGACCAGGUCUUCUUUUGACCCUUGGCCCAGGCCACCCCAGCUGAGUGGCCCUGGCCUACCCAGAUAGUUCCCAGAUUUAUGGGUCCCCGGGCAGCAAUCCCCUGGCCCGGGUGCCCGCCCCAGCGCACGCCCGGAAGACUAAACCGAACAGUCAGAGAUGGGGAGGGGGAUGUAGACUCAUGGGAUGGUUGGAGGUACGGGCCGCCUUAGGAGGGGCUCUGGAAGGACACUGGAACGGGGGUAGAACGCGGGAGGGCGGGGAGAACGCGGGAGGGCGGAGUGUGCUAGGAGCGGGAGCGCGAGCGCGAGGCCCUUUUGUUCUUAGGGUUUAGAACAAAGAAGGACAAGCAGAGGCCAUGUGAAGACUUUAGUAGGGACUGGAGUCCUGCGGAGCGAGUGCCUGAGAGUAAAAAGUGAAUAGAAGAAUGAAAGGCAGAAUCCAGAAGGCUCCUCCCUACGGAUGGCCACAUUCUCACCACAAACUGAGUCAUGGCCACGCCCUGCCUGGAAAGUGGAAAAUUACUGAGAGGGAAGUGGAAGGCUAAACUCUAGGAGUUUUAAGUUUUCAAUCCAGAAAUCACAGCCAUCUACUCUCCACCUGGAACUAAUUGAAGAACAGUUGUUUACACAUCCCUAGCCCUAACACAGCAUGUCCAGGUCUAACCGAGUAAAGCUGCUUGAGUCCAGGACUACGUGGAAGGGUGAAGUUCAACUGGGAAAACCGGGGUAAGGAGUCAGUCUGGGCCAUCCAAAUGUGGAGUGGUUCCUGGGUCAGUCUCCACCAUGAA